AGUUAGGAGGCAGGAGAGCUCGCCUCUGUGCAUAGCCCUGACUUGGAAAAGCUGUGUGACUCUCGAUUGCACUUCCCGGAUUUAGGCACCCCCAGGACCUUAGAAUAAAGGGAGACGGUAGGAAAUGCAAGGUAUCUCCAAGGACUUCAGUGGGGCUGGAGAAAUCACUAGACUAAGACUCCUGCAAUCUGAUGGCUCUGCAUGAAAGAAGAAAGGGGGUGUGUGUGUGUGAUACUGUCCCACACUAGACAUUUAUUCACUCUGAGUCAGGGGUACCGCGUUGCGCUUUAUUUGGAGGCUCAGAGAGAUUCCCUCCAAACAGCUGAUAGUGACAGAGCAGAGGUCGCAAUUCGAUCUGAUGCUGAGCUUAAUGCAGUCAUUGGGAGAAAGAAGGGAGAAGACCAUUCAUGAAACACCCACUACUAAGAUCACAGUCCUACACAGAGAUGGAAGGGAGAGAGGACCUUGGAUUUCCUGGCCUGAUGUGGUACAGCUGCUGAUGGGAAGGGGUGCAAGCAGAGAGAAAGUAAGAUCUGAAGUGACAGACACUUGAUGUGUGAUAGAUAUCAUGCGUGCCUGGCGUAAGUUCUAAUUAAAUUUUCUUCUGGUGCUGAGUGGACUGUUUGCUUUCCAUUAAAUAGAAAAUACUGAAUGAGCAGCUAACAUUUGUUGAGUGGUAAUUACUUGCCCUCUCAGACCUGAGCUGUGUAAGCAGAUCACUUGGCACCAUGUCACUUCCUCCCACCCCCCAUCCCCAUUCACUACCACCCACCCCUGGGAAGAGAAGGAAGCCCCCUGCAACCAGGUCCACACCUGACGUUUUCAGCUUCUAACACAUAGUGGGAGCACAUUCAGUGUCAGUUGAGUUUAUGGACCUCUAAUUUUGGACUUCUACUGAGGAAGGACGAAAGGUCUAGAGGUCAGCUGACCAGCCUGAGAACAAGGCCCUGGGAGGAGAUGGUACCCAUCUGUAAACUUGGCAAACCACUCCACAAAUGCCUGUUCAAUGGGCACACCCAUGUGAAAAUAUCCCCCCCCCCCAGCGAAUGUUUUGAGCCUUUGCUUUCUCCUAGGUGGAUAUUUUGCAAAUCAGGAGACCUUUUAGAUGGUGGGACCUAGCUGGUGAAAAUAGGUUGCUGGAGGUGGGCCUUUCAAGGUAGUAGCCUGGAUUAGUUCCCCAAUUCUCUGCUUCCUGGCCUAUGGUGAGGCGAUGCAAUGAACCUUGCUAUGCCUUGCCCCAAGUCUUCCCCACCACGACAGAAUGGGCUGUCUGAACCGGUGAGUUGAGCUGAUCUUUGCUCUCUUACGUUGUUUCUGCCACGUGUUUGGUCAGAGUGAGGAAAAGUAACAGUACACAUACCCGGAGUAAAGGAAAUCAAGGGGUUACAUUAAGUCUUGAUAUAAAGAAGCAUCUCUUUCAUUUUGACUAGUCUGUUCUCUAGGUGAUGCUGUCAUAAAAACGUGGGAGGAAACGCAAGAGGAACAAAAUCCUUAAAGGAUGUAUGGUAUUUGUUUUCAAAUAUACAAACAAUAAAAUAUGCAAGUCUAUGUGUCUAAUUUAAAUAGGGAUUGUCAGAUAAUCGAAAUGGGACAACAUCUAGAUAAAAAAUAAUAUUUGUGUUUCAAAACAAAAUAAUUAACAGCUCUCGUAGUUUUCGUAUAAUCAGUAAAUACAUAACUCCACGUUGGGCAGUAUUGAAAAACAUUGCAAUAAGUCAAUUAAAAGAAUUUUUUUCUUCAGAAAUUUCUUGUCUUCAUUUUCAGCCCUACAUUAGUUUUUCACAGCAUAAAGGAGUGUUUUGGUAUGUGUAACAUGAAAUUUAGCUACUGGGUUGAUAAGGUCAUAUACUAUAAAUACCCAAUUAGAACAUUUUAAAAGUAUUCAUUUUUUCUGGAUUAAUGGUAGGUAAAUGCUCAUUGGAUUUUUUUUUAAUUUAUAUGUAUUGAUAUUUUGUUUUUAUGUAUAUCUAUUUACCAUUUUUGUGCAUGGUGCUCAUAGAGGCCACAAGAGGGUAUUAACUCCCCUGGAAGUGGAGUUACAGACAGUUGUGAGCUGCCAUGUGGGUGCUGGGAAUUGAACAGAGGUCCUCUGGAAGAGCAGCCAGUGCUCAGCCUCUGAGCAUCUCUCCAGCCUCUCAUUUAAAGAUAUUGUUGAUUUGAAUACAACAAAGUCUGUAUAAUAGAAAUUGAAAAGUAUGCACAAGUCCACUGCUCCAGAUAAAAACCUUUAACCUAUAGACUUCAGACUUUAAAAAUAUAUGUGCAAACACAUAUAUAAACCAAAUAUUUUAUUGAUGGGCUGUGUCUUAUUCACCCAUACCAAUUAAGCUUCUUUGAUUUUCUCUUUUGUUUGCUUUAUGUAAAAUUUGAAAGACAAGGUUACAAGAAAGUCAUGCCAUCCCUGCAGCAAUAUUUUAAUUCUAGCAAGUUUGCAGUUUCCAAAGAUUUCCUGCUGAUCACUCAAAUUUGGGAUAAAAGAACGCAUAAGAACGCUCUCAUGUUUUGUAUCUAAAGGCUUGCAAGUGAGCAAGUGUCCAUUUAUGUGUAAUGAGGAUAACCGCACUUGGGUUCCCUGAAUAUAUGGGAGGUCACUGAAUUUUGUACCCUAGGAAGCAUUCAUUCCUCCAGUCCCCAUUCUAGACAAGGAGACCGAGGAAGAGGCAGAACCAGGAAGCAGAUGUGAUGUGCUCAGAUUAGUCAGCUAUUAAUUCAGCUUUGGCUGGCUCCUAGGUCUAUGUGACUCAGCACGGUGGCCCCACCUGGGUACCACACCUGGGAACCCCACCAUUUGGGGUACUUCUGUUAUUAGUGUAAUGGCUUAAGCAUCUCUCCACUGGUUUGGGGAUUCUCAAGAGGACUUAAAAAAUAAAAUAUUGGGUCAGUCUUGGUAGUAAAGCUGUAAUCCUGCCCCUCAAGAAAUAUCAUUCUAGACCAGCCUGAGUUGCAAUGUAAAAUUCUGUCUCAAAAUUUAGAAGCCGGGUGGUGGUAGCGCAUGCCUUUAAUCCCAGCACUCAGGAGGCAGAGGCAGGCGGAUCUCUGUAAGUUCGAGGCCAGCCUGGACUGCUGUGGCCUCCACAAUGAGAAACAGCAUGUGAAGAUGCAGGAUGUGUGUGCUUUGCCACGUCACGUGUGUGGAGGUCAGAGGACAGUUGGUUGGAGUCAUUUCUCUCCUUUCACCAUCUGGGUCCCCGGGACUGAACACCGGUGAUCAGGCUUGGCCACAAGCUCCUUUACCCACGAAGCAUCUACCUGACUCAACAUGAGCUUUUCUAUUUUCCACGUCUCCUCUAGUGCUGGACUUGAAAGUCGGGACUCUGUAAGUGCUUUGCAAAUGGCCAACCACUGAGCUAGCCUGCAGCCCUCAAGGUGUGUAGAUUCCACAUAGGAUCGAGAUCACAGGGUGGUUUUCCUUCGGACCCUGGCUUACGUCAUUAAUUGUGUCUUCUGGGACAAUCCUUAUUAUUGUAAACGAUAGAAGCAUGAAAGGAAAGUCUAACAAAGAGUGGGGGCGUGUAGGAAAGAAUCUCAUGUUAUUCUAGAAUUUUGAACUAAUUUUCUACAAACAUGUCAUGAUCUACUUCUGGGGGUAUUUCACUGAAAAAAAAUUUACAGUUUUCUUUAAAAAUGAAGCAAAGCAGAAGUUCUACCAACUCGGCUGUCACUGUUUCAUGUGAUUACUUCAAUUGCAUUAUUUGACAUUGUAUAAGACGAUUAGUGUAAACACCAUGCGAAAUAAUGACAAUAAUGUAAAAAGAAAAGGAAGGUAUGUUCUUUAAAAGUUUCAUCAGUUUAAUAUAGUUUGCUUGCAACUUCUGACAUGGCCAGAAGGGAUCUUCCAGUCUGUGGGUGGCCUUGAUACAUCUUCCUUUAGGCCUGUUUCAUUUGGGAUGCCUUGUUGACUAAUGCCAACACCCUUUCUCCUAUAAAACCUGGAGGAUUUGGGAGAACUUUGUGUCCAUGGGUGAUUAAACCAGAUGCUUAGGACUUGACAAAAAACAUCAAUGGGAAUGGGCUGGAGAGAUGGUUCAAGUGGUUCAGAGCACUGGCAGCUCUUCCAAAGGACCCGGGUUCAAUGCCCAGCACCCAGUAACAGUUUACUACUGUCUGUAACUCCAGUUCCAGGGGAUCUGGCACCCUGAUACAGAUGUACAUGCUGUCAUACCCCGAAGUACAUUAAAUAAAAAUGGAAGCCCA
Molecule: long non-coding RNA, 4194 nt
Organism: Peromyscus californicus insignis
Lineage: Eukaryota; Metazoa; Chordata; Mammalia; Rodentia; Cricetidae
Exons: 3
Source: RefSeq, a predicted model, not a curated record